Molecule: long non-coding RNA, 338 nt
Filed under: Homo sapiens (human)
Lineage: Eukaryota; Metazoa; Chordata; Mammalia; Primates; Hominidae
Description: novel transcript
Source: RNAcentral
CAUAGAGAUAUAGACACAGACGCAAAUACAGUCACAUAGAGAUAUAGACACACACUUAUACACACAUAUAUGUAAAUAUACAGUCUCAUUCACUUUAUACCACACAUGUAUAAACAUACACAAUUGUAUGUAGACACACAUACACAUAGGUACUCAGACCGCAUAGAUACAUAUGUACACACAUACAAAUAUAUGCACAUACACAGAUAUAUAUAUACACACAUGCAUCUUUAACCAGAACAACUUUACUUUUGUCAGUUUUAUAUGACAGAGUCUUUAAAAAAAGAUUUCAUCUGGCUUGUGUUCUACUAUUAAAAGAGAAAAUGAAUUUGCUUGUU